GUACACGCUGUGACUAGCAUAUCAAUAAGCGGAGGAAAAGAAACUAACAAGGAUUCCCCUAGUAACGGCGAGUGAAGCGGGAAGAGCUCAAAUUUGAAAUCUUAAAGGGUUCCCUUUACGAAUUGUAGUUUAAAGAAGUGUUUUCUGUUGAGGUUUUGGUAAAAGUUCUUUGGAAUAGGACAUCAUAGGGGGUGAGGAUCCCGUAUUUGACCUUUACUUUCAACUUUGUGAUACACUUUCAAAGAGUCGGAUUGUUUGGGAAUGCAGUCCAAAAUGGGUGGUAAAUUUCAUCUAAAGCUAAAUAUUGGCGAGAGACCGAUAGCGAACAAGUACCGUGAGGGAAAGAUGAAAAGAACUUUGAAAAGAGAGUUAAACAGUACGUGAAAUUGUCAAAAGGGAAGCGUUUGACACCAGUGUUGUUUUUCUGAAAAUCAAUUAAAGAACUGUUUAUGCUAAGCUGUUUAGACUUUAUCAGCUAACUGUUUAGUUUUGAGCUUUUCUUUAAUGCACUUUUCAGUUAACAAGUCAACAUCAAUUUCUUUUGCUGUAAAAAAGCUUGAGGAAGGUGGCUUGAGAUUCGUCUUAAGUGUUUAUAGCCUCUUGCCUAUGCAGUCGGAGAGAUUGAGGUCUGCAGCGUAGAUCCUUCGGGGCUAAAUGCAUUUGUGCUAAGUUAUAGCAUUUUAUAGACAACUUGUUGACUAUGAUUUGUCUUGUAGCUUACUCGCUUAUGUUAUUUUACCUACGCUUAGGAUGUUGAGUCGUAGAGCACGCAG
Molecule: ribosomal RNA, 773 nt
Filed under: uncultured Neocallimastigales
Lineage: Eukaryota; Fungi; Neocallimastigomycota; Neocallimastigomycetes; Neocallimastigales
Description: partial large subunit ribosomal RNA
Rfam family: Eukaryotic large subunit ribosomal RNA
Source: RNAcentral